GACGAACGCUGGCGGCGUGCUUAACACAUGCAAGUCGAACGAUGAAGCCGGAGCUUGCUCUGGUGAAUUAGUGGCGAACGGGUGAGUAACACGUGAGUAACCUGCCCUUGACUCUGGGAUAACUGCUAGAAAUGGUAGCUAAUACCGGAUACGGCCCUCGGCGGCAUCGCCAGGGGGUGGAAAGAAUUUCGGUCAAGGAUGGACUCGCGGCCUAUCAGCUAGUUGGUGAGGUAACGGCUCACCAAGGCGACGACGGGUAGCCGGCCUGAGAGGGUGACCGGCCACACUGGGACUGAGACACGGCCCAGACUCCUACGGGAGGCAGCAGUGGGGAAUAUUGCACAAUGGGCGCAAGCCUGAUGCAGCAACGCCGCGUGAGGGAUGACGGCCUUCGGGUUGUAAACCUCUUUUAGUAGGGAAGAAGCGAAAGUGACGGUACCUGCAGAAAAAGCACCGGCUAACUACGUGCCAGCAGCCGCGGAAA
Molecule: ribosomal RNA, 484 nt
Filed under: uncultured bacterium
Lineage: Bacteria
Description: partial 16S ribosomal RNA
Rfam family: Bacterial small subunit ribosomal RNA
Source: RNAcentral